This is a long non-coding RNA of Ipomoea triloba (trilobed morning glory), 526 nucleotides long. RefSeq lists it as uncharacterized. The transcript is spliced from 3 exons. The record is from RefSeq and is a predicted model, not a curated record. Lineage: Eukaryota; Viridiplantae; Streptophyta; Magnoliopsida; Solanales; Convolvulaceae.
UCUCUCCAAACUGUAAACACUCAGCUCUCAUUAUUUCCACUCUCCAUCUUCUGCUCACAAACUCCCUACACGAUUCUCUAAUCUUUGAACUGACCCAAUGCCGCUAAAAUUCAUCGGUUCUUGUAAAUAUUUCUUCAAUUUCAAGGAUGUGGUUAAACUUAAAAGAUUUUGGAAGCUAGGAAUCAUCAUUUACGGUCGCGAUUUCUUUGUAUAAUUUAAGAUGCAAUCUAGUACAGGUUCUUGCAGCCCUUCGGACUCAGAUCCGUCUGAGUUCGAGUUCCCUAUAUAUGAUUAUGAUGAUUAUGCACAGUACCUAUUAGAUGGAGAUCCCUAUGCCCAUGGCUAUGCACCUGACCCGCCGACGCUGAUUUGUACUCCAGACCCCACUCCUGCUCCAGUCUCGCCAGAGGUACCUGUGUGGACCCCUGCUCCCGUCGAGCCUCUGUGUCCCUUCGAUGCCCUACAGGCCAGUCAUGGGUUCUAUCCCAUAGAGAUCGUUCCUGAUAGCCGUCCUCUAGAGUUCUUA